RNAcentral lists this long non-coding RNA (753 nucleotides) under Chinchilla lanigera (long-tailed chinchilla). RNAcentral describes it as "lncRNA (ENSCLAG00000026464.1)". Lineage: Eukaryota; Metazoa; Chordata; Mammalia; Rodentia; Chinchillidae. The record is from RNAcentral.
UACAGAGUUGAAAUAUACUUAGAUACAAGGAGAUAAUUAUGCCAUCACAAGCAACUUGGAAGGAUAUGGUUCUCCAGUGAACUCUUUGCUUCUCUUUGUAUUUUCAGACACCAGACAUCAGCAAGAGAAAAUGAAAAAGAGCAGAGGAGAGCAGAAGCCCUACGAUGGUGAUUCAUUCAUAAGAGCAAGUGGCGUCCUUUGCUAGCAGCGGGAAGACAAUCUAGGUGUGGCCCGGUGCGAAUCCGCAAGUGUCUGUUAUCUUGUCUUUCCAAAGGAUUCAUCACUGCACAUUCCAAUACUUGUCAUGAUCUUGAGCUUCAAAAGGCAGUUGGUCUGGUGUUUUAGAACCUGUUAAAAGCAAAAAAAAAUCUUGUAAAGCUGUAGUGAGCACACACACACACACACACACACACACACAGGCCCCAAAACAAAAGCCAGGUUCUGUCUCCUCCUCCUCUGCACUUCAGGUACCCAAUUUUGAGUCUGAAUAGAGCCCUCUAAGCAUCUCAUGAAUUUCUAGAACUGCAUAUAAAGGGGGAAGGACAUCUUGCUCUGGAAUGUGAAGGACUUCAGAAGCCACAGAGGUACCUUCCUCCCUGCUUACAAACUGCUCCUUGGGAACGUAGUAAGUAGACCUCAGGAAAACAACCUUAAUUGAGAACAAAGUUUGGAAAAGGGGCAUCACUAAUCUAGUGUGCCUAAAUUUUUUUUAAAAAUAAAGGGGAGGCCCCUUACUCAGGACCCCCAUCUGUC